This 292-nucleotide ribosomal RNA is filed under the name uncultured bacterium. RNAcentral's name for it is "partial 16S ribosomal RNA". RNAcentral also lists the same sequence under 2 other names. The record is from RNAcentral.
GGACUACAAGGGUAUCUAAUCCCGUUUGCUCCCCUGGCUUUCGCGCCUCAGCGUCAGAAAGGGUCCAGCACGUCGCUUUCGCCACCGGCGUUCCUUCCGAUAUCUACGCAUUUCACCGCUCCACCGGAAGUUCCACAUGCCCCUACCCCCCUCAAGAUGGCCAGUAUCAAAAGCUAUUCUCCAGUUGAGCUGGAGGAUUUCACCCCUGACUUAACCACCCGCCUACGCGCCCUUUAAGCCCAGUGAUUCCGAACAACGUUUGCACGGUUCGUCUUACCGCGGCGGCUGGCAC